Molecule: transfer RNA, 77 nt
Filed under: Candidatus Omnitrophota bacterium
Lineage: Bacteria; Pseudomonadati; Candidatus Omnitrophota
Description: tRNA-Val
Rfam family: tRNA
About the family: Transfer RNA (tRNA) molecules are approximately 80 nucleotides in length.
Source: RNAcentral
GGGCGCAUAGCUCAGUUGGUUAGAGCGCUACAUUCACAUUGUAGAAGUCGUAGGUUCGAGUCCUAUUGCGCCCACCA